This 497-nucleotide ribosomal RNA is filed under the name uncultured bacterium. RNAcentral's name for it is "partial 16S ribosomal RNA". It matches the Rfam family "Bacterial small subunit ribosomal RNA", at positions 28 to 507 of the family's 1533-position model. The record is from RNAcentral.
GAUGAACGCUGGCGGCGUGCCUAAUACAUGCAAGUCGAGCGAACGGACGAGAAGCUUGCUUCUCUGAUGUUAGCGGCGGACGGGUGAGUAACACGUGGAUAACCUACCUAUAAGACUGGGAUAACUUCGGGAAACCGGAGCUAAUACCGGAUAAUAUUUUGAACCGCAUGGUUCAAAAGUGAAAGACGGUCUUGCUGUCACUUAUAGAUGGAUCCGCGCUGCAUUAGCUAGUUGGUAAGGUACCGGCUUACCAAGGCAACGAUACAUAGCCGACCUGAGAGGGUGAUCAGCCACACUGGAACUGAGACACGGUCCAGACUCCUACGGGAGGCAGCAGUAGGGAAUCUUCCGCAAUGGGCGAAAGCCUGACGGAGCAACGCCGCGUGAGUGAUGAAGGUCUUCGGAUCGUAAAACUCUGUUAUUAGGGAAGAACAUAUGUGUAAGUAACUGUACACAUCUUGACGGUACCUAAUCAGAAAGCCACGGCUAACUACGUG